AUUGAACGCUGGCGGCAUGCUUUACACAUGCAAGUCGAACGGUAACAGGCCGCAAGGUGCUGACGAGUGGCGAACGGGUGAGUAAUGCAUCGGAACGUGCCAGUCGUGGGGGAUAACGCAGCGAAAGCUGUGCUAAUACCGCAUACGAUCUAUGGAUGAAAGCGGGGGACCGUAAGGCCUCGCGCGAUUGGAGCGGCCGAUGUCAGAUUAGGUAGUUGGUGGGGUAAAGGCCUACCAAGCCAACGAUCUGUAGCUGGUCUGAGAGGACGACCAGCCACACUGGGACUGGGACACGGCCCAGACUCCUACGGGAGGCAGCAGUGGGGAAUUUUGGACAAUGGGCGCAAGCCUGAUCCAGCAAUGCCGCGUGCAGGAAGAAGGCCUUCGGGUUGUAAACUGCUUUUGUACGGAACGAAACGGUCUGGGUUAAUACCCUGGGCUGAUGACGGUACCGUAAGAAUAAGCACCGGCUAACUACGUGCCAGCCGCCGCAGUAA
This 497-nucleotide ribosomal RNA is filed under the name uncultured bacterium. Its description in RNAcentral is "partial 16S ribosomal RNA". It matches the Rfam family "Bacterial small subunit ribosomal RNA", at positions 30 to 523 of the family's 1533-position model. The record is from RNAcentral.